Long non-coding RNA from Brachypodium distachyon (stiff brome), 1910 nucleotides. RefSeq lists it as uncharacterized. NCBI's taxonomy places the organism in Eukaryota, Viridiplantae, Streptophyta, Magnoliopsida, Poales, Poaceae. The transcript has 6 exons. The record is from RefSeq and is a predicted model, not a curated record.
UUCUUCGUGCGAGUUGCGCCUUGCGAGCGGCCCACCUAAUUUUCCGUCGUCUCAGACGUAAUUUCGUCUCCUUUUUUACAACGACAGUUUCUCGGUCGAGCUAAACCCACUUUCCUCAAAUCGUGUGUGCGGUUCCGGAUUUUUGGUUCGGUGGAGCCGGGGUGUGGCCUGGCGAUUGGCGAGGAUAGGUGGUGCCGGCGGCGACGCCUAGGGAAGGAGCAGCCGGCGGUGGCGCGUGAGAGCAGGAGGAGCGGCGCACGCGGCGUGGCGGUGGCGGGCUACGCGGCUUGAGGGCUCGAGCCUGAGCGGCGCCGGCGCCGGCGCCGGUCGUUGGGGCGACGUCCACCUCCAUCCCCAUCGACGGAAUGCUCGUGAGAGUGUUUUUUUUAGCAUAAUGCAGAAAUAUUUAAUUUGAUGCCACUGUUUGAGCUUAUGAAAAAUUACAUAGUAGAGUUGGCGUGAUCAUAUCCUUUUUAAGUACGUUCAGGAUUGUACAUCCUCUGGAACAGAAAAUAAACAGGGAGAGGAAAUCAUGCACAUCCUCUUUUCUUUUUUGUAUUUGUCCUGCUUUUCUUUAGCUGAGGCUGAAAGCAAGCAUCUUUGUGGUCAUGUCCUAAUGUUCUAAUUCUCCCGCUUUCCUCUCAGAUUUUUCCUUAAAUCUUAUGGUAGCUUUUCACCUAAAGAUCAAAGUAUUCCUCUAUUAUUUAGACACAAACCAGUAAAGCUCAAAUGAUGUGAGUUAAUUAGGUCAAAAGCUGAACUGAUGUGAGUUCAUCAGGUGUUCCUGUUAGUUGGCUUGCCCAAUAGAUAUUAGUUUGCUUGCUCAACUGAAACAAAAGUUUGAUAAUUUGGGACUGGCAAAGGGGGACAUAUAUGAAGAUUCUAAUAUUUGUCUCAGCACAAAUAUAAGCAACAAGGUCUUAUCUCUUCCAUUAUUUUAUUCCUAUAUGAAGUUUGAGGUCUCUAGUUUCAACCUGAUGAAGGGUAGGGUGACUCAUUGUAGAAACUAGCAGACUUUGCUGGGUAAUUAGAAUUUGCAAUUUCGUCUCAAUGCAAACUACCAGACUCUAAACCCUGUCUAUUCCAGGAACUACAAAGAUUUGCUACAGGUGGUUUAGCACGUCAAGUAUUUGUGCAGAGAAAGCAGGCUAGGGGAGGAGGUUACAGUAAAAAUGUGCACUUGGCUUCCUUUAGUGUGCUCUAAGCUGUUUGCAGAAGGUUUAUAUAAUAAUUCAUUAUUAAAUGGAAUUCUUGGAGUUCCUUCAUACCAGGUUUAAGAACUCUUAUGCAUCGAAAUUCAGAGGAGAACACCUGCAUGGUGUGAUUGCAUUCUCUGGUACGGUGAUGGUCUCAUCAGCUAUUUUACGUUUGUGGAGAGUCUCAGCUUCUCCGACCAUACACCAGUAUACAGUAUUUUUAUGGCAGAGGUUGAGAUUGUCCACCAGAGGAAGAGAAACAUGGGCUAUUUUAGCUCUAGGAUUGAGGUGGAAGAGCUGUUACCACAUUCAGAGAGCUAAACUUCCUCUAAUUUUACUUGUGAGCAUGUUGUAAGGUUAGGAGGUGAAAAGUAUUUAUGUAUGGUUCAAGAAUCAAAGCACGCUGGAUUAUCAGAUGAUGUUGGGCAAUUUUGCAGGCAGUCAUUGUGUCAGAUGGAGAGAAGUGUUACUGGCCUGAGGGAGGAACGAUGAGUCUGAAAGGGCUUGCAUAGUUACAAUCAUGUCUAUACCUUUCUUCUUCUGCUGUUGUAGUGCUUGAGCAGUUAAGUGAGGCAUGUGUUUUUUGUACUCGUCAUUGUUGUGACAAAAGAAGAUUGGCUCCCUCCAUAAAGCUCCUGGAUUGCUUAAUUUGACCUCUGUAAUGAUGCUUGAAUUUUUUUCGUUUCCCACUCUAUUUUGUUAAUCAAACAAGUU